AUCAGCCAUGCCGCGUGUGUGAAGAAGGCCUUUUGGUUGUAAAGCACUUUAAGCGAGGAGGAGGCUACCGAGAUUAAUACUCUUGGAUAGUGGACGUUACUCGCAGAAUAAGCACCGGCUAACUCUGUGCCAGCAGCCGCGGUAAUACAGAGGGUGCAAGCGUUAAUCGGAUUUACUGGGCGUAAAGCGCGCGUAGGUGGCCAAUUAAGUCAAAUGUGAAAUCCCCGAGCUUAACUUGGGAAUUGCAUUCGAUACUGGUUGGCUAGAGUAUGGGAGAGGAUGGUAGAAUUCCAGGUGUAGCGGUGAAAUGCGUAGAGAUCUGGAGGAAUACCGAUGGCGAAGGCAGCCAUCUGGCCUAAUACUGACACUGAGGUGCGAAAGCAUGGGGAGCAAACAGGAUUAGAUACCCUGGUAGUCCAUGCCGUAAACGAUGUCUACUAGCCGUUGGGGCCUUUGAGGCUUUAGUGGCGCAGCUAACGCGAUAAGUAGACCGCCUGGGGAGUACGGUCG
Molecule: ribosomal RNA, 510 nt
Filed under: Acinetobacter sp.
Lineage: Bacteria; Pseudomonadati; Pseudomonadota; Gammaproteobacteria; Moraxellales; Moraxellaceae
Description: bacterial SSU rRNA
Rfam family: Bacterial small subunit ribosomal RNA
Source: RNAcentral